This 253-nucleotide ribosomal RNA is filed under the name uncultured bacterium. RNAcentral's name for it is "partial 16S ribosomal RNA". It matches the Rfam family "Bacterial small subunit ribosomal RNA", at positions 524 to 776 of the family's 1533-position model. The record is from RNAcentral.
UACGAAGGGGGCUAGCGUUGCUCGGAAUCACUGGGCGUAAAGGGUGCGUAGGCGGGUCUUUAAGUCAGGGGUGAAAUCCUGGAGCUCAACUCCAGAACUGCCUUUGAUACUGAGGAUCUUGAGUUCGGGAGAGGUGAGUGGAACUGCGAGUGUAGAGGUGAAAUUCGUAGAUAUUCGCAAGAACACCAGUGGCGAAGGCGGCUCAUUGGCCCGAUACUGACGCUGAGGCACGAAAGCGUGGGGAGCAAACAGG